RNAcentral lists this ribosomal RNA (303 nucleotides) under uncultured bacterium. RNAcentral describes it as "partial 16S ribosomal RNA". It matches the Rfam family "Bacterial small subunit ribosomal RNA", at positions 507 to 807 of the family's 1533-position model. The record is from RNAcentral.
AGCAGUAGCCACGGUAAUACAGAGGGUGCGAGCGUUAAUCGGAUUUACUGGGCGUAAAGCGUGCGUAGGCGGCUUUUUAAGUCGGAUGUGAAAUCCCUGAGCUUAACUUAGGAAUUGCAUUCGAUACUGGGAAGCUAGAGUAUGGGAGAGGAUGGUAGAAUUCCAGGUGUAGCGGUGAAAUGCGUAGAGAUCUGGAGGAAUACCGAUGGCGAAGGCAGCCAUCUGGCCUAAUACUGACGCUGAGGUACGAAAGCAUGGGGAGCAAACAGGAUUAGAUUCCCCCGUAGUCCCUGUCUCUUAUAC